UGUUUAUGUUAGAGAGUGGUGCAAUAGUUGAGGUGGGCAAGAUUCUAAAGUUCUUUGUCUGUAUCCAUAUUUUAAAGGAAACAUCCUCAAGCGAAGAGAAUAUUUAUGUGGUAAGGUAAUUCUUGGCAGAAGACAGAAGCCUCUGAAGCUUUCUGAUGGAAUGGAGGGAGUCAACAAACUCAGAUCUCAUUCUCUGCAUCCCUUUGUAUCCCAACACCUUGUCAGGAAAUAAUCCAGGAUCAGUCAUUUGCAUGUCAGUGUGAAUUCAAAUCUACUCAUUCCUAUUUUCAAUAAUUAUCAAAAACCCAUUAAAGAU
Molecule: long non-coding RNA, 316 nt
Filed under: Homo sapiens (human)
Lineage: Eukaryota; Metazoa; Chordata; Mammalia; Primates; Hominidae
Description: HSALNT0069363
Source: RNAcentral